UACACACUACCCUCCCCAGACCCCACUAAGUGGGAUUAUACUGGGUUGUUAUUGUUGUUGUUCUUAUGUGUAUUUUUGUGGGUUUUACCACUGUGAUUUCAUUUCCUUCGAUAAAAGAAUUGCAACUUCAAGUUCAGGCAUUGAAUUAACUCUCUAAUAUGUACUUAGUGUUAGUUUGAUAGUUAUAUAGUAGUAGUAAAUAAUCCUAAUCCCAUAUGUAUUAGGAGUAGGACAUGUAUUAUAUAUAUAGGGCUCAUUGUAUCAUUG
RNAcentral lists this long non-coding RNA (267 nucleotides) under Nicotiana benthamiana. RNAcentral's name for it is "long non-coding RNA (NBEN_LNC001469)". Lineage: Eukaryota; Viridiplantae; Streptophyta; Magnoliopsida; Solanales; Solanaceae. The record is from RNAcentral.